RNAcentral lists this ribosomal RNA (423 nucleotides) under uncultured bacterium. RNAcentral's name for it is "bacterial SSU rRNA". It matches the Rfam family "Bacterial small subunit ribosomal RNA", at positions 354 to 774 of the family's 1533-position model. The record is from RNAcentral.
GUAAGGAAUAUUGGACAAUGGAGGCAACUUUGAUCCAGCCAUGCCGCGUGAAGGAAUAAGGCCCUAUGGGUUGUAAACUUCUUUUAGACGGGACAAAACCCCUUUACGUGUAAAGGGUUGAUGGUACUGUCAGAAUAAGCAUCGGCUAACUUCGUGCCAGCAGCCGCGGUAAUACGAAGGAUGCAAGCGUUAUCUGGAAUUAUUGGGUUUAAAGGGUGCGUAGGCGGACUAAUAAGUCAGUGGUGAAAGCCUGCAGCUUAACUGCAGAAUUGCCAUUGAUACUGUUAGUCUUGAGUACAGUUGAGGUAGGCGGAAUGUGUCAUGUAGCGGUGAAAUGCUUAGAUAUGACACAGAGCACCGAUUGCGAAGGCAGCUUGCUAAGCUGUAACUGACGCUGAGGCACGAAAGCGUGGGGAGCAAACG